This is a non-coding RNA of Peromyscus maniculatus bairdii (prairie deer mouse), 826 nucleotides long. The record is from RefSeq and is a predicted model, not a curated record. Lineage: Eukaryota; Metazoa; Chordata; Mammalia; Rodentia; Cricetidae.
ACCUCCCAUCCCUGAUCACCUUGGAAACCUGUACUUCAGUGUCUAGAUAACAAAUGAAACUUCAAAAUUAAAAAAGAAGAAGGAGGAGGAAGAGGAAGAGGAGGAGGAGGAGAAAAUAUGUUGUUUGUUACAGGUGUGGAUAAAGAUGUGAUCUCUAGGGUUCUUGUUUCCAACAUCAUGUCUGCUGCUUGGUGCCCUGCCUUCCCAUAGAAACAGACUCAUCCUUCAGGAAUCAGAAAAAAAAAUACCAUCAAGUCUUGCCACCAGCCACAGUGAGGGAACAGGAAGGCAGAGGAGACUGUUGGAGCCGCCACAAGGACAAGGAAGAUGUAAGUGGGCUAAGGGACUGCUGGGGCUUGGCAGAACACAGAGAGAAAACUCCAGCUACACCACACUCUGGAGACAGAGUGUACUAGUUCUUGGUAGCACAUUGAGCCUGAAGAAGAGGCCGACUUCUACAUCACACACUCCAAGGCUCAGGAGACACCAUGAAAAAGGCGGCAUAAAAGAUAUAAGAGCCAGGGCCAGGGAAACAGGUUCCAUUGUAGCAGUUGGGGAUGCCAUCUUGACCAAAGCAACCAUGUUAGAGGCUUGAAGCCAACCCUGACAGCAACCUGAUUCUGUAAAGACAAUCCCAGGAAUUUAAGCCAGAUAAACUAUUCCAUGGAUGCAAAAGACCAAGAAUGUUAUCUCAGGCCUACAGGAAUGCAUAUUUGCAGGAAUGAAGUAAUUGUGGCUUUUGCCUCUAACAACUCCUUCCCAGUUUCAGUCAUAGCCAUAGUCCUGAAUCCAACCAAGGGGCUGUGGUCAGUUGAAACUUAAAUAA